RNAcentral lists this transfer RNA (66 nucleotides) under Chrysomallon squamiferum (scaly-foot gastropod). RNAcentral describes it as "tRNA-Met". The record is from RNAcentral. Lineage: Eukaryota; Metazoa; Mollusca; Gastropoda; Neomphalida; Peltospiridae.
AAUAGGAUAAGCUAAGUUUAAGCUAUUGGGCUCAUACCCCAAAUAUGAAUAUUUAUUCUUCUAUUA